RNAcentral lists this ribosomal RNA (252 nucleotides) under uncultured bacterium. Its description in RNAcentral is "partial 16S ribosomal RNA". It matches the Rfam family "Bacterial small subunit ribosomal RNA", at positions 524 to 776 of the family's 1533-position model. The record is from RNAcentral.
UACGGAGGAUGCGAGCGUUAUCCGGAUUUAUUGGGUUUAAAGGGUGCGUAGGCGGACGCUUAAGUCAGCGGUAAAAUUGCGGGGCUCAACCUCGUCGAGCCGUUGAAACUGGGUGCCUUGAGUGGGCGAGAAGUACGCGGAAUGCGUGGUGUAGCGGUGAAAUGCAUAGAUAUCACGCAGAACUCCGAUUGCGGAGGCAGCGUACCGGCGCCCUACUGACGCUGAAGCACGAAGGCGUGGGUAUCGAACAGG